This is a long non-coding RNA of Mustela erminea (ermine), 1120 nucleotides long. RefSeq lists it as uncharacterized. The transcript has 3 exons. NCBI's taxonomy places the organism in Eukaryota, Metazoa, Chordata, Mammalia, Carnivora, Mustelidae. The record is from RefSeq and is a predicted model, not a curated record.
CGGGAGCGCAGGGAACGCUGGGAGCCGGGCGGUGACAGUCCCGAGCGUGCGAAAGCCGCGGACUCCGGAGAAAUCCCCCUCCUCCAGGGCUAAAAAGAUGUCCUCUGAUCCAUAUUCAGCCCUAUUAUUGAGGACAACAUCUUGGAGCUUAUGAUUGAGGAACAAGGUAAACUCUACACCCAGCAUGGGCCUUGAACUAACAACCCCAAGAUCAAGAGUCUUACGCUCCACCAACUGAGCCAGCCAAGAGUCCUCAAAAUUCCAAGUUCUUAAUCCAGAUAGUGCUAUGAUGAAGGAAAUGAGACUGGUAGUAUGAAAGCCUCCAUGAAGAGGUUAUUGCUGUGAAACAAACAUGAGCCUGAAGCAGACCAGGAUGUUGAAUGUGGAAAUGAAGGAAAAAUGAAGAGGAAGGAAAAUAAUUAAGAGAAAUUUCAAAGAGAAGGUAUAGACCUUGGUGACCUUGGCUUGGCCUUGGCUAUAGGGAAUUAAGGAGAACCAGGAGGCAAAGAAAAGUCUCAAAUAUCUAACCUGGAAAAGUGCUGAUACAGCAGGAAUUGCUGGCAGAAAAGUGAAAAUAUGGAGAUUAACUUAGAAAAAAAUCAUAAAUAGAGUGUGGCAGCAGACCUAGAUCCCUCCAUCACCAAUGUUGCCUAUAGUCCCUCCUAUCCAACAUGAGUCCAUGUACCACCAUUUCUAAAGCAAACUUCAGGGGCAAGGGACAGUCCCUAAAGGAAGGACUGUAGCUCUGAGAAACCUGCCCACUCACCUAUUUUCAUUUAAGGAACUGAAACAUAAGGCUUGUGAACACCCAGAGAAAUGAAAUCUUAGUACAUGAGAACUCUAAAAGCGAUUCUAAAAUAUUCAUUUUUCAAAAUAUUCAUUCAUUUUUCAAAUGCCUCUCUCUCUGUAAUCUCUGUGUUUAUAUUGUUUGAGCCCUACAGGAUUACAUAUGCUAGUUUUGCAUGUAUCACACUGCCUGUAAGUAUGACACAGCAUACUAACUUGGUUUCUGUAACAGUAGUACUACCCGAUGUUUCACAAACAUGAGGUCCAAUAAUUACUUGCACAGAUUUAGAAUUAGCAUUUUUCAGAACUGGUAAUAAAGCCAUCAUUAAAGUCA